AUGCGUGGCAUUAGCUUGUUGGCGGGGUAACGGCCCACCAAGGCGACGAUGCCUAGGGGUUCUGAGAGGAAGGUCCCCCACACUGGUACUGAGACACGGACCAGACUCCUACGGGAGGCAGCAGUGAGGAAUAUUGGUCAAUGGGCGAGAGCCUGAACCAGCCAAGUCGCGUGAGGGACGACGGCCCUACGGGUUGUAAACCUCUUUUGCCGGGGGACAAACGGCGGCACGCGUGCCGUCCUGAGGGUACCCGGAGAAAAAGCAUCGGCUAACUCCGUGCCAGCAGCCGCGGUAAUACGGAGGAUGCGAGCGUUAUCCGGAUUUAUUGGGUUUAAAGGGUGCGUAGGCGGGAUGCCAAGUCAGCGGUCAAAUACGGGGGCUCAACCUGCGUCCGCCGUUGAAACUGGCGUUCUUGAGUGGGCGAGAAGUACGCGGAAUGCGUGGUGUAGCGGUGAAAUGCAUAGAUAUCACGCAGAACCCCGAUUGCGAAGGCAGCGUACCGGCGCCCAACUGACGCUGAAGCACGAAAGCGUGGGUAUCGAACAGGAUUAGAUACCCUGGUAGUCCACGCAGUAAACGAUGAACACUAAUUGUCCGGCGGGGUUUGCCGCUGGGUGAU
RNAcentral lists this ribosomal RNA (619 nucleotides) under uncultured bacterium. RNAcentral's name for it is "bacterial SSU rRNA". It matches the Rfam family "Bacterial small subunit ribosomal RNA", at positions 231 to 847 of the family's 1533-position model. The record is from RNAcentral.